This 433-nucleotide ribosomal RNA is filed under the name uncultured bacterium. RNAcentral describes it as "partial 16S ribosomal RNA". It matches the Rfam family "Bacterial small subunit ribosomal RNA", at positions 29 to 507 of the family's 1533-position model. The record is from RNAcentral.
AGCGAACGCUGGCGGCAGGCUUAACACAUGCAAGUCGAGCGGGCCCUUCGGGGUCAGCGGCGGACGGGUGAGUAACGCGUGGGAACGUGCCUUCUGGUCUGGAAUAACCCUGGGAAACUAGGGCUAAUACCGGAUACGCCCUUUUGGGGAAAGGUUUACUGCCGGAGGAUCGGCCCGCGUCUGAUUAGCUAGUUGGUGGGGUAACGGCCUACCAAGGCGACGAUCAGUAGCUGGUCUGAGAGGAUGAUCAGCCACACUGGGACUGAGGCACGGCCCAGACUCCUACGGGGGGCAGCAGUGGGGAAUAUUGGACAAUGGGCGCAAGCCUGAUCCAGCCAUGCCGCGUGAGUGAUGAAGGCCUUAGGGCUGUAAAGCUCUUUUAUCCGGGACGAUAAUGACGGUACCGGAGGAAUAAGCCCCGGCUAACUUCGUG